ACUCCAGGAGAUGGGGAGCCAGACAACAGAAGAGGGGGGUCUGGUAUGGGGAGGCCUCUAACCCUGCUAUCUGACCAGGCUGGGGUCAGGGGCAAGCAGCACCUGGCCAUGCAGGGAAACUGCCACCUUCAGCUCCAUCUGCCCCAGAUUUUUCUCGAAGGUGUGUAUUCAAUCCAAUGAGACGUGAACGCAGGGAGAGCGGGACAACUGUAUGCAGCUCUGACCUGGACGCAGACAAACUCGGAGCAGGAAAAACAGCGUGGGCUGAGCAGAAUUACCACUUGCAAUCCUGAAUCUUACCUAGAAGAAGGCAGAAACUUCCAGAGCGGUACCGCGUGGAAGCCUGGCAUCAGACUGCCCACUGUAGGAAACCUCCCAGCUCCAUCCAGUGCCUACAGGAGCUGGGACACAGUUGCUUCAGCGCCACCUCCCUGAACUUGUUAACCGAGCAAAUCCUCCAGGCUCAGCUCCAGCCGCCAGAUCAGAAGCCCUGGAGGUGGCCCUGCAGUUUCCAAAAGCCCUCGAGGGUUUCCGGAUGUGUUUCUCCGUGGGAAACUUCCACCUUUCAAAGACCAAAAGGGCACCAGAUCUCAUUACCUGAUUGUUAUAAGCCACCAUGUGGUUGCUGGGAAUUGAUUGAACUCUGGACUUCUGAAAGAGCAACAGGGUCUCCAGCUGAACCUGGCAAUCAUCCUUUCAGCUAGACUGAAUGGUCUGACAGCAUUUAAGGUCCUUCUAUCUCUGCUACCCAGGAAUGAGCCAACACAACAGCAUUUUACAAGAGUCUUGGGGAUCAGAGGUUCCCUAAAAUCAGACUCUGUCAUCGGCAAGUGGAGACUGUAACAGACUGGGACCCUCACAUGCCGAUAAGCAGUCAAGAAUAUUUUCUGGGAGCUGGAGAGAUGGGCUCAGCAGUUAAGAACACUGACUGCUCUUCCGGAGGUCCUGUGUUCAAAUCCCAGCAACCACAGGGUAACUCACAACCAUCUGUAAUGAGAUCUGAUGCCCUCUUCGGGUGUGUCUGAAGACAGCUACAGUGUCCUUACAUAUAAUAAAUAAAUAAAUCUUUUUUUUAAAAGAA
Molecule: long non-coding RNA, 1081 nt
Filed under: Mus musculus (house mouse)
Lineage: Eukaryota; Metazoa; Chordata; Mammalia; Rodentia; Muridae
Description: HNF1 homeobox A, opposite strand 1
Source: RNAcentral